This 23-nucleotide transfer RNA is filed under the name Microtus subterraneus (Common pine vole). RNAcentral's name for it is "Terricola subterraneus (Common pine vole) partial tRNA-Pro". Lineage: Eukaryota; Metazoa; Chordata; Mammalia; Rodentia; Cricetidae. The record is from RNAcentral.
ACAUUCUAUUUAAACUACUUCUU